GUUGUUUCUUCUACUUAAGGUAUGAAUCAGAAUGAUGAGGCCAAGUUGUGAAUACACAAGUGUCAACGGACUAUAAUAUAUAUUGAAUUUGUGACAUUAGAAGGGUGUAAUAAUAACAAUAAUGGAGUCAUAUUAUUUUCAUAUAGGAUUUAAAUA
This is a non-coding RNA of Arachis ipaensis, 156 nucleotides long. The record is from RefSeq and is a predicted model, not a curated record. Lineage: Eukaryota; Viridiplantae; Streptophyta; Magnoliopsida; Fabales; Fabaceae.